This is a transfer RNA of Phycomyces blakesleeanus NRRL 1555(-), 72 nucleotides long. It matches the Rfam family "tRNA". From Rfam's summary of the family: Transfer RNA (tRNA) molecules are approximately 80 nucleotides in length. The record is from Rfam. NCBI's taxonomy places the organism in Eukaryota, Fungi, Mucoromycota, Mucoromycetes, Mucorales, Phycomycetaceae.
UCCUCAAUGGUCUAGUGGUUAUGAUCCGUCGCUUUCACCGUCGUGACCGGGGUUCGAUUCCCCGUUGGGGAA